This 468-nucleotide ribosomal RNA is filed under the name uncultured bacterium. RNAcentral describes it as "partial 16S ribosomal RNA". It matches the Rfam family "Bacterial small subunit ribosomal RNA", at positions 28 to 507 of the family's 1533-position model. The record is from RNAcentral.
GACGAACGCUGGCGGCGUGCUUAACACAUGCAAGUCGAACGGAAAGGCCCUGCUUUUGUGGGGUGCUCGAGUGGCGAACGGGUGAGUAACACGUGAGUAACCUGCCCUUGACUUUGGGAUAACUUCAGGAAACUGGGGCUAAUACCGGAUAGGAGCUCCUGCUGCAUGGUGGGGGAUGGAAAGUUUCGGCGGUUGGGGAUGGACUCGCGGCUUAUCAGCUUGUUGGUGGGGUAGGGGAUUACCAAGGCUUUGACGGGUAGCCGGCCUGAGAGGGUGACCGGCGACAUUGGGACUGAGAUACGGCCCAGACUCCUACGGUAGGCAGCAGUGGGGAAUAUUGCACAAUGGGCGGAAGCCUGAUGCAGCAACGCCGCGUGCGGGAUGACGGCCUUCGGGUUGUAAACCGCUUUCGCCUGUGACGAGGCGUGAGUGACGGUAAUGGGUAAAAAAGCACCGGCUAACUACGUG